RNAcentral lists this non-coding RNA (148 nucleotides) under Pan paniscus (pygmy chimpanzee). Lineage: Eukaryota; Metazoa; Chordata; Mammalia; Primates; Hominidae. The record is from Rfam by way of RNAcentral. RNAcentral also lists the same sequence under 1 other name.
GCUGGGUGUGGUGGCGUGCACCUGUAGUCCCAGCUACUUGGGAGGCUGAGGUGGGAUGAUUGCUUAAGCCCAGGAGUUCGAGGCUGCAGUGAGCCAAGAUCAUGCCACUGCACUCCAGCAUGGGUGACAGAGUGAGACCCUGUCUCAA